CCUACGGGAGGCAGCAGUGGGGAAUAUUGGACAAUGGGCGCAAGCCUGAUCCAGCCAUGCCGCGUGUGUGAAGAAGGCCUUCGGGUUGUAAAGCACUUUUGUCCGGAAAGCGGUACCGGAAGAAUAAGCACCGGCUAACUUCGUGCCAGCAGCCGCGGUAAUACGAAGGGUGCAAGCGUUACUCGGAAUUACUGGGCGUAAAGCGUGCGUAGGUGGUUUGUUAAGUCUGAUGUGAAAGCCCUGGGCUCAACCUGGGAAUGGCAUUGGAUACUGGCGAGCUAGAGUGCGGUAGAGGGUAGUGGAAUUCCCGGUGUAGCAGUGAAAUGCGUAGAGAUCGGGAGGAACAUCUGUGGCGAAGGCGACUACCUGGACCAGACUGACACUGAGGCACGAAAGCGUGGGGAGCAAACAGGAUUAGAUACCCUUGUAGUC
RNAcentral lists this ribosomal RNA (432 nucleotides) under uncultured bacterium. RNAcentral's name for it is "partial 16S ribosomal RNA". It matches the Rfam family "Bacterial small subunit ribosomal RNA", at positions 338 to 795 of the family's 1533-position model. The record is from RNAcentral.